AGAAUCAACGCUGGCGGCGUGCCUAACACAUGCAAGUCGCACGAGAAAGGGGGCUUCGGCCCUGAGUAAAGUGGCGCACGGGUGAGUAACACGUGAAUAAUCUACCUCCGAGUGGGGAAUAACUGAGAGAAAUCUUAGCUAAUACCGCAUAACACUUACGAGUCAAAGCAGCAAUGCGCUUGGAGAGGAGUUCGCGGCCGAUUAGUUAGUUGGCGGGGUAAUGGCCCACCAAGACGAUGAUCGGUA
Molecule: ribosomal RNA, 246 nt
Filed under: uncultured bacterium
Lineage: Bacteria
Description: partial small subunit ribosomal RNA
Rfam family: Bacterial small subunit ribosomal RNA
Source: RNAcentral